Molecule: non-coding RNA, 123 nt
Organism: Chelonia mydas (Green sea turtle)
Lineage: Eukaryota; Metazoa; Chordata; Testudines; Cheloniidae
Source: Rfam
AAUUUCACACCUGGAUGUGCUCACUCAACCAAGAAUAUAGAGAAAGAGCUUCUGCCCUGAGACUGCUUCUGUUCAGUAUAGAUUUCUAGACCCUGAUCAUUGCUUAACAGAUUUUCACUGGGG